GAUUGCAUUCCAUAUUUGAAGGCGAGGAUGAAAGAUUCUUGCCCUCUUGGCUGAUGAACGAGGCAACCGUGCUUUCCACUAAGGAAAACGAAAAGGGAGAGUCAGGGAAUGUUUCUUGUAUCAGUUGCACUUUCAUUUGGCAUCAAAGUUAGGUACAUUUGCUGUUCCUAUUUACGCUAUUACAACGUUUGUUGAGUAAAACUAGCAGGUAUUAUCUGUAUAUGACAGUCUGGUAUAGUGAUAUUGUUGUCGAAAUUGCAGAAUCUGAGGUGGAUUUUCAAGAGGUCUUUGUUGGGAAGAAGCUCAUGCAGAUUCCAGGCUUGAUUUUGGCUAAUGCAAGUAUUGCUGAUGGGAGAAUCCAUAAUCCAUCACCACAUAUCAGGCCUGAUGCCACUGCAGGGACCAUUAGAUCGGCUUUCCUACCGUUAAGCUUGUGCCAUACGUAUACGAUCAAGGUUCCAACGCACAUGUCAAUGGCGAAGGAAGCCCCGACGAGGAAGGGAACAGCCAUAGCCAUUGGAAGAGGGACCCAUUUCCUGACGUUCUCUGGGGCUACGUCUCUCGUCAGGUUGGCAGAUACUGCAAAGGCGAAGAAGCCAUAACAAAGCUGUAGGCAAUGGCGGGGGAGAGCAGAGAAGCCUUCGACGCCUAGGAUGGCCAUGUUUCUGUAUAUGAGAGCAUAAGGCGCCUUGUACUCCCCGUUUUGGUCCCCUACGUCAAAGGCGGUGUAGAAGAGGAAGAACGUGAGAGGAGCUACCACGCAGCCAAUUGCAGUCCCAACGCCCUGGCUAACGAGCAUUGAUCGAGGUGAAGUGAGCGUGAGGUGGCCUGUCUUGAAAUCGUGCAUCAGAUCAGAGGAUGUCGAAACAAUGGAUUUUAUGAGCCCACAUCCGAUAAGCCCAGCAACUACUCCAUUUUCCUUCCCAGACAGAGCAGCUAGUGUAAAGAGAGCCACUUUGCCAUAAUUAUAUGCCAUGUUCAUGUCAGUCAGACCAGCCCCAUACGCGUUGCAGAAGCUCAAAGAUGGCGCAAGAACGUAAGCAACAAGAACAUAGUACCACCUCAAAGCGGGGAACAUGAUUGGAAUUACUAUGAUGGAGAUAACAGAGAAGAACAUGUACCCAACACACGCUACCCACAAGGGAAUGCUGCCUCUAAUGAACACUUCGUUUCUUUGUAGAUGAUCAAGGGGCUCAUUCUCGCCUUCUGGAACUGCUAUGUGGCAAACACGGUCAGUGGCAUCAUCAAGAGGCUCAUUCUAACAGUAGCAAGUAAAGAACCGAUUAAACUUGACAAAAGGAAGAAGAGAUUUAUACGAAGAAUUUACUUGUUCUAGAAUUCUUCUUGUUCAGGGCGGUGUAUAUGCUUCUACCAGUGAAAACGAGUAUCUUGAGAAAAUUGUAGAGACCAUCCCCCAGGAUCAGAGCAAUCGAAACAAAAACCUGCAUUGUAAGCCAAAAAUGGCGGGUUAUGGCAUAUGCAUUAAGUAAUAGCAGUCCACCGAAGGAAGUAUGAAAGUUGAACUACACACCUUGUAACCAGUCAGACUCCUCAUGCUGCUUUCGGAUAAAGUUGCUGGGAACCAAGAUCCUUUGCGUUCGAGAAUCAAGGGCCACAUAAUCCCCCAAGACAGAACAGCUCCAAGAAGCAGAGACAAAUUUACGAGGUGGGAGCAAAUCAUUCCUGCACCUAUGUAGGUCAUGCUGAAAUCGAAGUAAAAUCUGCAGAAUUCAAUUGUUCAAGGGAGUCAAGAUUGAAGCAGAUAUAGUUACACAACUGAUUCAUUCUUGUGAAGACGAGAGAAUCAGUACAUACGAUUGCUUCCAAGCUUUCAACCCGAACAGUGGGAAGUUUGCAAAUCCACACUGGUCUCCCCCAGAGUAAAACCACUGAAAGAAACUCCACAGGAAACUGAUCGAGAAGAAUUUCAUGAACCCAUGAACUUGUUUCCUGGAAUUGACAGUGUUUCGUUUUUAUGUUACAGUCAUUCAAAACUAGAUUCAUUUCCAUAAAAUGACGUUUUCAAUAACUUUCAUA
Long non-coding RNA from Ipomoea triloba (trilobed morning glory), 2037 nucleotides. RefSeq lists it as uncharacterized. The record is from RefSeq and is a predicted model, not a curated record. NCBI's taxonomy places the organism in Eukaryota, Viridiplantae, Streptophyta, Magnoliopsida, Solanales, Convolvulaceae. The transcript is spliced from 2 exons.